Molecule: ribosomal RNA, 254 nt
Filed under: uncultured bacterium
Lineage: Bacteria
Description: partial 16S ribosomal RNA
Rfam family: Bacterial small subunit ribosomal RNA
Source: RNAcentral
UACGAAGGGGGCUAGCGUUGUUCGGAUUUACUGGGCGUAAAGCGCACGUAGGCGGAUCGUUAAGUGAGGGGUGAAAUCCCAGGGCUCAACCCUGGAACUGCCUUUCAUACUGGCGAUCUUGAGUCCGGAAGAGGUGAGUGGAACUCCUAGUGUAGAGGUGGAAUUCGUAGAUAUUAGGAAGAACACCAGUGGCGAAGGCGGCUCACUGGUCCGGUACUGACGCUGAGGUGCGAAAGCGUGGGGAGCAAACAGGG